CUUUUUUAGGAUAAACCGACUACUUUAAGCGGAAAAAGUCCGAGGCAUGUGCAAAAGGUUGCAAAGCUCGCUAAGAAACUCUUCCACGGCCUAAAGGUACUUACAGGAACUUAUCGUAAAUACUUAUACUCUGGCACAUCUACUCUAUGAGUAGAUAAAGGCGAUAAAUUCAAAAAAAUAUAGGCUUCUUGUUCUUUUCGUGUCGAGGUUCCUUUUUUUAUACGAUGGAAGCCCAAUAGGCAGCGGUGUUGACCGCGUCCCUCAGAUCCAGAAGGCCUACCGCGAACCACGUUCGACGUGUUGCCUCUCUGUCGCACUUGUAAAUUCGUACGUAAG
Cydia pomonella (codling moth) is the source of this 336-nucleotide long non-coding RNA. RefSeq lists it as uncharacterized. The transcript has 3 exons. NCBI's taxonomy places the organism in Eukaryota, Metazoa, Arthropoda, Insecta, Lepidoptera, Tortricidae. The record is from RefSeq and is a predicted model, not a curated record.